UGUUUUCUCCGCCUCCUCCCCCGCGUGCCGAGACUUCGCCGACUCCUUCCCCGUGCCCUAACCGGCGCCGGGCGGUUUCUGCUUCUCCUCUCAUUGGAUUUCUUCUCUGCCGCGCUGACCUCCGAUCACAAUCAACACUGAGCUCUAGCCCCGGUUGACCCACGAUUUCCUUUCUUCACCGGCCGCCUCCUCCUCUUCGCCGAGACCCCCUCCUCUUUCCCCAAGCGUCGGCGACGGUCGGCCACUGCGAGUCCAAGCCACCUUCUCUGCCGUGUGUGUAAGGUCUUCACUCCACUCUCCCCUGCCGACAGCCGCCCCUCACAGAGCGACCCCGCGAGCCACCGCCGGCCGAGCCCUCUCGAUUCUUCCUCCUCGCCGAGCGAUGGCGCCGGUCGCCACCGCAACCGACGUUGGCCAAGUUUCGGCUUACCCGUCUCUUCCUCUCUUCUGGUAAAGCAUCGCUAAUCUCCGUGGCCGAUCGUUUGAAGUUGCCACUGGCCACUGCCACCGGCUGAUUCGGCUGUGCCCUAGAUCGCCGGAAUCCAGAAGCUUGCGUUGGUCUUCGAUUUGGAGCAGCAACCCAAGCAUUGGUGUCCCCUUCCGUGCCCUAAUUUCACUGUUGGAUCUACUUCAGCCAUGUUGUGCUCCAGAUUCUCUCUGCCGGUGCCACUCUCUUCUUUACAGCAGGUUCGUGAUCUUAGAGUGAAGUGUCCAGCAAGAAUGUUGUGCUGUGGUUUGUUGAUUUCCAGCAGCAACCCCUUCCAGCAACCCUUGCUCCAACAACGAUCACGACUGUGAAUUGAGGAGUUUGACGCGAGACGAGUAUCUCGAUUUAUCGGAUUGGACCAUUUCUUAUUGGAGG
Long non-coding RNA from Zingiber officinale, 862 nucleotides. RefSeq lists it as uncharacterized. The transcript has 3 exons. Lineage: Eukaryota; Viridiplantae; Streptophyta; Magnoliopsida; Zingiberales; Zingiberaceae. The record is from RefSeq and is a predicted model, not a curated record.